Molecule: long non-coding RNA, 5270 nt
Organism: Corvus hawaiiensis (hawaiian crow)
Lineage: Eukaryota; Metazoa; Chordata; Aves; Passeriformes; Corvidae
Exons: 2
Source: RefSeq, a predicted model, not a curated record
UAACAUCAAUGUGAGGCACUUAAAAAUAUGCUCUUAUUUAUUGAUCUAAGCAGGAGAUGAACUCUUCUGGCAAUUUAUUCCCAGUGGGAAGAUGGAAUAUCUGGGACAUCUGACCUUGUACACCCUCCCUUGGUACUGGGGAGGUGCAGUCCUCCUCAAGGCCAUCAAACACAGGACCACAGUCAAACAGGCCUUCAGGUACACAUCUCCUUGCCUGGCCAACUCUGAGGAGAUGUUGAGUCUCUUGUGGACACUUUCUUCCUUUGCAGUGUGUUUCAUGCCUCUCUUCAGAGUACAUUGAACAGAGACUUCACCAUCUUGACUGACUGUGUAUUGCAGGGGGCAGUUGGACACUUUCUCAUGAGAACCAGCAGCAUAGAAUACUGAGAUGAGAGAGCAGCACAUUACUAAAAAUGAAAGCAUGGCUCAUCUAGAGACCUGUAUUUCCACACAAAGCUUUCUGACCCUCUGUCAAUCUUUCUUUACUUCAACCAGUGGUAAAGUUAUGUAUGUGCAACCUUUUCUUCUUACUCCCCUCCUAGGCUUCCCCAGUGUGGUGCAGCUUGCUGGAGCAUCUCUUUAUAGCGUUUACCAAACUUCUUUGGCUGUAAAGCAGUGGACAGAAAAGAAGGUCCUUCUAAAAGCACUAUCUUCUCACUUGAAACAGAAAAAGCAAUAGGCAUACAGCAUCUUGCAGAGAAGUUAAGACUGUCACAAGCAAUGUCAGCUGGGCUGCUAAAUAACAUGCACAUAUUAGUGCAGUGGUAUGGCUUUUUUUUUUUUCAGCUGUUGAAGCAAAACAUUUGGUGACUGUCUUAUCCCAGCCCUAACCAUUUGAAAAAUGACUCCCAGUGAGGCUUGUGUUUGCCCUUCAUUAACUUGACUGGGUGAGGUGGAUUUGUUUUGUGGGUCAUCAAAACCUUGGACACUGGAGUAACACUUCAGCUUCUGUGUGUUCAGAUGUAAAGCAACAAAAAAGGAGGAAACACUUUUGGUGACCCAGUUUCACUGGAGCUGAGAACAGAUAGAUGUAUUUUCUAUAGCGUGCAGUAUUGCUGCAAAGUGGUGAAGGAGUGAAGUGCUAAACUGCUGGUGUCUGUGCUGAUUUGCCUCCUGACUUGGAUAAGUAUGACAAAUUUGUGUCAGGGAUUAGUCUUCAUUUGUAGCCUGCAAGGACAAAUCCUAUAGGCAGUGAUGGUUUUAUUCUGCUGACUGUGGAGAUGAGUAAAAAUAGCAGCAAUAGCUAAAGACAGUCUUAUAAAUAUGAGUGUUUAUGCAAAAUAAUGUUUGCCACCAGAACAGAGAAGACUUUGGGGCCUAGUUGUGCAAUUCUCAGUAGCCAGCACUAUCUAUGGUGGCUACCUCCUCACAGCUUGGGCCUUGUGCAUUAGAUGGUGUUUCACUGUGCUCUAGAACCACUAUUGUGCUUGCCUUUAAUUUUCAGCUGAGAUUUGAAGUAAUGUUGUCCUAAGAGACCUGGAGCUCGUACAACUCUAGUGCGGUAGUUUUCAUUCCUAAAGAUAUUUUCCUUAGUAGUACUGUCUGUUUUCCUGGGUUUUUGUUAACUCUCUGCAUCUUUUACAGAGUCAGUUUAGAUAAUUUUUCAUUUCUUACCAAGGUUGGAACAAAUAAAAUAUAAAUCCUUUAUCAGCACUAAAAGAUACAAAGGCUUGAAGUCUACCUAGCAUUUCUCUUAUCCACUUCAACUCCUCAAAGCUAUUCAUAUAUAACUUAAUAUCUUAGUAGAAAUCCAUUAAGGCAGUUCUUCAGAAGCCUAAGACAUUUUAUCAGGUUAUAUAAAUCUAAGGCUAAUUCCAUUGAUCACAGUGGACCUCAACCAUUUCACAGCAGGUUGUGAACCUUGGAAAGUCUGUGGAAGUAGUGCCUGGGAAUAGCUCUGUGUAUCUAAUUAGUAAAUUAGUGUGGUGUGCCUACCACUUAGUAGUGGUUACUAGUACCGUUUAUGAAAUAAGCUCUGUACCAACCCUAGACUUCUUUGCUCAUAAAACUUAUCACUUGAAAUUCUUGUCAAACAUUAAUUAAUUCUUAGAAAAUGUACAGCAUUUGUAUACGGACAGUAUAUAGCUAAUCUGGUCCUUUGUAACAAGACCUUGGGUUUUCUGUCUUCAGCUCAUCCACAUCCUACUGGAAGGUCUCUGGGAUUGAAAAUCUGCUGAGGAGAUCCAUGGCAAGGAUACAUGAAAUCUCUUUCACGGUUUUGAGCCAUAUAACAUCCCAAAGUUGGUACUUCCCCAGCAAGGCAGCAGAGUUGUUACCAGCUGUGUGCUGGGACAAUGCUGCCUUUGGUGGAGGUCCACUGAUGCAGCACCUAUAAAGGUGUGGGGUUGAAAACACUGCGUGUUUUUCUUGUGGAUAAAUGCCCUCUUCCUGUCUGUCCCCUUAUGAAAAGUACCUCUCAGAGCUGGCUUUGAUGAAUCCUGCUCUUUGUGGGUGUUUUCCCAUCUCAGCUGUGCUAACCACGUUGUUUCCUUAAGGUUAAGUGGGUAGGUAGAGUGUCUUGCAAGACUUGUUUUCUAGCUAUUAGUUUUGACCUAUUUUGUGUAUCGGUAUCUGGGCUGUUUGUCCAGAUGUGCAUAAAAUAAAAAAAUACCCCCAAAAAGAAGUUUUCCAAUUUUAGACAACUGUUCUGAGCCCUCAGAGGGGUAUUCAUAUUCAGUUGCUUGAGAGGAAGUAUGGCUUAUUUCUGCAGUAAACAGGACUAGUGGUCUCUUGUGCUUGAUAGAGGGUUAUAAUGUAAAUGUAGAAAUGUUCUUGCUUGAAUGAACUGAUUUAUUACUGUGCUCUCUUUUAGGAUAGUGGAAUUGUCCCCAGAGAGGUCAAGGGGUUGGUGAUGUACUUGCCUGAUGUGCUGAAAUGGAGCCUCACUUGCUCAGUGCUUUAGCUGCCUGCAUGGGGUUUGCAGACUGCAUGGGAUACAUCUUCUGCUCUGAUACACGUACUUAUCAUGGUACAUCUAAACUCAUACUCUGGUCAUCCACGGGGACAAGCUUUCUCCUCCCAGUUGUCCAGAGCAUGAGUCCUACCGAGAGCUGAAUUUGCCCUGGUGUAAUCUGUAGCAGGCAGGGACAUGCCAGAGCACUAGAUGAAGGAAGAUAAUUAGAUGGCAUUCAUUUAUCUGAGCACACUUCCCACUACUUAGAGAGCACUCUGCAUCUUGGUGGGCACUGGCAGCCUUGUACAAAAGAUAUCAGGCCAUUCUCUAUUCUUUGGCCCUGAGCAGGGGUGAGAAUAUCAUCCCCUCUGUGGGUGAGACUGGUCUGAAUGGUACAGUCAGUAAUCACGUGUUACUCUGGGACAUCAGCAGCCGUGUGAGGAUGACUCGUCUGCUUUUGUAGUGAUAAUGAAUGUGUUUUGAAGCCAUCAACACAGCUAGGACUCAUUUGUUUUGUCUUUUUUUUGUCAACUGAGUUUAAUUGUUUCACAACCAGAACUCUUUGAAAAAACAAACCAUUUCUGCAUCUUCGACUACCCGCAUUCCUAGGGUUUAUUCCAUUAACUACAGGGACUGUGGAUUCUGGUUAAAAUAAUCUGCCUCUGGAAAUGGAGAAAUUGACCUGUGUUGUGCACAGAAAGAUGCCAAUUAGUUCUCUACUCAAGUAAAAAUUUAACAAAGGCUUGAAUGUUCCUGUGCCUGUUGCUUUACAAGAUUGUUUAUCAGUUUACAGGGAGGCCACGCUGCCUUUUCAAAGUGCUGCUGGAGGGCUGCCAGCAACAGUAACAGAAACUAUGCUCACUGUUUAAAUGCCACUGGAUGCAGGAACAGCAGACUGAUGCCUGCUUUCCUUUCAUUUUGUGAUUAUCUAAUUGCAAGAGAUAUAUAAUUCCUUGUUAUGUCAGGGAAGUUGUUUCUCCAGCAUCUGGUACUUCUCUGAUUAUCUACAAACGAUAUCUGAAAAUUAAUAGCUAUUGUGUAAGAAGUACUACUGGGAACUGCUGCCUGCUCUAAGCUCGAGAAGACUUCAGAGACUGCAAGAACUGGCUUUGUCAGUGAACAUAUAAUUUUCUUUUUUUUUUUCUUUUUCUUUUUCUUUUUUUUAUAACAUCCUAGUAAAUUACAGGCUUUGGUUAUGGUUUGAAGAAAUGUGUUCUACAAAUGUUGUAGCAUCUGUAUGCUGCUGUUUUUACUGCAGCCAUUGUACAGGUCAUUAAUCUGAUCCCACAUUGUAAAAAUUUCUCCACCCUCUCCAGUUGAUGCCUAACUCUGCUAUGUUCCCUUAUAAUUACCUGGGGUAGAACAACAGGUUUUUUUAUCCUCAAUGCACUUGGCUCUUGCAGCAGUGCUGCUGAGCACCAUGCUCACCCCACCUUUGUGACAGACUGCACACCCAGCUCUGAUGGGCUGCUCCCAGUGGCCGGGGAGACAUCUGGGCAACAGAUCCUCCUCUCUCAUCCUCAUCGGCUGCUCCCCAGGAUGAGCUCAUGACACAAGUCUGAAGAGGAGAAAUAGCAGCUGCAAAUGCUCCCAUGUCUGAUACUUGGUUUUCACCAAACCCCCCUCUGCAAGGGUUGUUGCCGUCCAGUGCUGUGCAAGGGGAAUGGUUGAGCAAACCCCUCCCAAGCAAGGUGAGGGGAGACGGCAGGUUUGCCUGGGCUGUGGGGCAGGUCUAUAGCAGGCAGUAACAGGGAUGGUCCAGCUUUGGUUGCAAAGCUUAAAGUGAGCACUGCUGGGAAAACAGUGGCAUUUGGAAAGAAUAAUUUUUGGGAACCUACCUGAGCACGGGUCCCAAAAAGUGUCCAGGAAGACCACGUGGGAGCAUGUCAUGGGCAUAGUCAGUACUUGGUACAUUCAAAGAGUUUAGUCUGAAGUGGUGAUCUCCACCAAAAACUAGGUCUCCACCAGCUUUUCAUAACUGGCAAAAGGACAGUACUUAAGUUUUACUGCCCAAUGGGCAAACACUCUCCCAAGGGUACAUGUCCUAGGUAACCCAAAAUGCUAUUGUAUUCCAUAUCCAUCCGUGUCCAAAACAUCGUUACUGUUUAAGGCCCAGCAGCACAGCCAGAACCGCAACUGUGGGGCAGUAGGGAGGUGAUGAUCCCUUUAAAAGGUUCGGGUCUGACACCUUUUUCCCUUUGUCUCCCUAUAUGCAGCUGGCAGUGGGGGCUGCUAUCUUGGAAGGGGUGGUACCCUGCCAGUUUGGGUGUCCCUGUGGAGUUUGUGAGAUUUAGCAAUUUUGUAUGUAGUGAUUAUUCACUGCUAUUUUUUGUCUGUUGCUGUUUCACUCAUUAGUAAAACUUAUUUUUUCCACUUA